Molecule: transfer RNA, 77 nt
Filed under: gut metagenome
Description: tRNA-Thr
Rfam family: tRNA
About the family: Transfer RNA (tRNA) molecules are approximately 80 nucleotides in length.
Source: RNAcentral
GCCGAAAUGGCUCAGUUGGUAGAGCAAUUCAUUCGUAAUGAAUAGGUCCCGGGUUCGAGUCCCCGGUUUCGGCUCCU